RNAcentral lists this long non-coding RNA (393 nucleotides) under Numida meleagris (helmeted guineafowl). Its description in RNAcentral is "lncRNA (ENSNMEG00000021232.1)". Lineage: Eukaryota; Metazoa; Chordata; Aves; Galliformes; Numididae. The record is from RNAcentral.
AUGCUCUCAUCCAGUCCUCCCACCUGACGGCUAGACCUCAGCCACAUCCCAAGACAGUUUAAUAUCUGGCUGCACAGGACACUCUAUCCCGGAAUUCAGCCUUAUUUGGAAAGAAAAAUUGAGAGGGCUCCUCACAUAAGUGUGUAUACAGCUGGGAUGGGUCCUCUGAAUCCACCUUCUCUUCCAGCAUAUGAUCUAAUUUCUCAUUCUUCUUCGCUGUUGUUUUUGCUUGCGAAUUUCCAUGUUAUCGAGUAACAGUUGUCCGCUGAACUACAGUCUCCAGGGCUCCUACUGCCUUCCGGGAUGUGAAGUGGCUGAAAUGAGAAAAUUGUCCAUAGCUGUAUAAUCCAUACCAGUGAAAGUAGAUCUACAGACAUUUAGUAGCAAUCAAUC